CACGUUUCUUUGAUCUAUGGAACUCUUUAAGGGCAAGCAAUGGGCUGCAGCUGUGCACAGAGGAAAUGUUUGAAUGUCUGGAACUGACAGAGGAACAUGCAGCACACGUUUUUGAGUGGGAUCAUAGUGCAGUGUCUAGUGAGUACUGAAUAUGUUUCAAACAUAAAAGCAGGUGUAAGUGAAGGGGCCAGGGUUCCCUAUGGGACAAAGUUUCUGAGGUCAGUCAAUAAAAUGGGCUGAUUUAGCAAAAAAACAUAAUUGACAGGAUUUCAGAAUACAUUAGGAAAUCAAUUUCCUUUGUCCCAAACCUGAGAAUUUGGGUGAUAGGGCUAGCGUGCUGUAGGAAAAACAGGGUUAAAGGGAUUAAUUUUUUACGUAAAGACCUGUAAAGGACAUUACACACUCUGGUACCACAGCCUUGUGGUGUGGAUCUCAAUGUCAACAUAUCUGUUUUAACGUUUAAACUGAAGUACAGACAAACUUCCAAUCAAGAACUAUGACAAAAGUUACCCAACCUAACCAAACUGUACAAUAAAGACAUCAAAUCUAGAGUAGGAAUAAUGUUGGCUGUUUGCA
This is a long non-coding RNA of Etheostoma spectabile (orangethroat darter), 576 nucleotides long. RefSeq lists it as uncharacterized. The record is from RefSeq and is a predicted model, not a curated record. The transcript has 2 exons. Lineage: Eukaryota; Metazoa; Chordata; Actinopteri; Perciformes; Percidae.